Molecule: transfer RNA, 71 nt
Filed under: Loxodonta africana (African savanna elephant)
Lineage: Eukaryota; Metazoa; Chordata; Mammalia; Proboscidea; Elephantidae
Rfam family: tRNA
About the family: Transfer RNA (tRNA) molecules are approximately 80 nucleotides in length.
Source: Rfam by way of RNAcentral
GCAUUGGUGGUUCAGUGGUAGAAUUUUUACCUUCCAUGUGAGAGACUUGGGCUCAAUUCCCAGGCAGUGCA